RNAcentral lists this unclassified non-coding RNA (884 nucleotides) under Hevea brasiliensis (rubber tree). Lineage: Eukaryota; Viridiplantae; Streptophyta; Magnoliopsida; Malpighiales; Euphorbiaceae. The record is from RNAcentral.
UCCCCAGCACCUGAUUCUUCACUUUCAGAAAACCCAAAUGGAGAUGGAACACUGUCAAUUUCCCUUUUAAACUUGGGAGUACUAUUGUCUAUGCUGCUAGCAACUAUUGAUCCAUUGAUUCCAAUGGAAGUUCUGGCAGUAAAAUCAUUGGCCUGAGAUGAUAUCUGAAUCUCAACAUGGUUUGAAACAGGAGCAACUACAUUUGCCCUCCUCGUACGUGAGUUUUUAUGUGGCCUCUGACCAACCCACUGAGCCAUGGAAGAUGAGCCUGCAGACAUUUGACGCUUAUGAUUAUUUACCAAACCGGGCACUGCAACUUUAUUUGAACUUGUAGGCUGUUCCGCACCUUGAAGAGAUGUUGAAGAGGAAUGAACUUUGAGUGAUGAGUCUAACACCAUGGUACGUGGUCCCCUAGAAACCUUUGCUUUUAUCAUUGUAUUAGGACCGCUUGCUAAAUUAUCUUCAUGAAUAUUUGGCUUAUUGCUUCCUUUUGUCACAACUUUCUGCUCUAAAAGGGCCAAACGAUCUCUUGAAAGAGUUCCAGUAUCCAUUUCAUUCCUGAUUACUGUACUGGUGUCUGAACCACUAGGCUCUAAAGUAGUAUCCAACUUGUUGAUUCCACCAACACCCGGUGAAGAUUUUGAUCUGAAACUCUGAGCAUCACAAGAUCGCAACUUAGAGUCCGCACUAAUCUUUGGAUGCAUAGAUCGUUUUAGAUCUCGGUCACCAUUUAUAACUCUACUACCUACCAAUCCAACAGAACGCUUCUUUUUAUUUUUUGUAUCCCAUCCUUCACCUCCAGCAGGUAAUCUUUGGAUCUUUUCUUCAAACUUAACAGUAACCCCACUGGCAUCCUGGAGCAUAUCUCCACCCUUUUCCAUGAU